This is a long non-coding RNA of Rhincodon typus (whale shark), 803 nucleotides long. RefSeq lists it as uncharacterized. The transcript is spliced from 3 exons. NCBI's taxonomy places the organism in Eukaryota, Metazoa, Chordata, Chondrichthyes, Orectolobiformes, Rhincodontidae. The record is from RefSeq and is a predicted model, not a curated record.
CUUUCAUCUGCUACAAAUGGAAUAUGGCAACUGAGGAGAGUGACCGAGAACUGUGGUGGGGUAAUAUUUUAUUUAUUCAGAUGUGAAAAUGGAACCAGGAACCGAGUUGGGCCCCAGACCAAGGUUUGAUAAUGAUUCCCUGCAAAGCCGUCUCCAUGUCCUACUCUCUGUCUUUGAUCAUCAGCUCAUAAGUACGAAUUGGCAUAGCUCUGUGCACCACUUCUAACUCCAUUGCAAUGCAUGGAAGAGCAGCUUCAACAACUUUCAGAAAGUCAGAUAUAAUCUUCACCACUAAGUGCACUUAUGGACAGUUAUGAGAUGACCAUCUCAACUACGGUCCCGCUUGUGUCUCUGUAGUCUGGGAGGAACAUAUCCAAUUUUUUGAGACAGGUACUAAGGACACUGACAGACUUCAAUCAAGAUUUUAGUGUAGUGGUGAUGCUGAAACUAUGUGUCCGUGUGUCUGUAUGUGCUGUCAUUACCCUUCUGAAACUGACAGCAACUUUUGAAUCUGCAGAAGCAUGGAAAUCCAAAAGCUGCAGUUAAUGCUUCCCUACAGGGUACAUCAACAAAGACCCCUAGACUAUAAAUGGUAAUGAUCAAACCAUGAAAUCUUUUUCUUUCCUUUUUUCACCUCCAGAAGUACUCUUAUAUACAACUAAAUGGCUUUUCCACCACCAAAUCAUUGAAUUUUGUUCUUUUCAUGCCUUUAGUUUAAUUUUAAAAAUCCUGUGAAAAAAAAACACACCAUAUUGAAUGAGAUUCACUCAUUUUUUGCUGGAAUUUCUGCAGAACAGCCUUAU